Molecule: transfer RNA, 73 nt
Filed under: Bos taurus (domestic cattle)
Lineage: Eukaryota; Metazoa; Chordata; Mammalia; Artiodactyla; Bovidae
Also listed under: 1 other name
Rfam family: tRNA
About the family: Transfer RNA (tRNA) molecules are approximately 80 nucleotides in length.
Source: Rfam by way of RNAcentral
GCCCUGGUGGUCCAGUCGUUAAGACUCUGAUCUCCCAAUUCAGGGGACCCAGGUUCGAUCCCUCGUCAGGGAA